UGGGGAAUAUUGCACAAUGGGCGCAAGCCUGAUGCAGCCAUGCCGCGUGUAUGAAGAAGGCCUUCGGGUUGUAAAGUACUUUCAGCGAGGAGGAAGGCGUUGUGGUUAAUAACCGCAACGAUUGACGUUACUCGCAGAAGAAGCACCGGCUAACUCCGUGCCAGCAGCCGCGGUAAUCAGGAGGGUGCAAGCGUUAAUCGGAAUUACUGGGCGUAAAGCGCACGCAGGCGGUCUGUCAAGUCGGAUGUGAAAUCCCCGGGCUCAACCUGGGAACUGCAUCCGAAACUGGCAGGCUAGAGUCUUGUAGAGGGGGGUAGAAUUCCAGGUGUAGCGGUGAAAUGCGUAGAGAUCUGGAGGAAUACCGGUGGCGAAGGCGGCCCCCUGGACAAAGACUGACGCUCAGGUGCGAAAGCGUGGGGAGCAAACA
This 427-nucleotide ribosomal RNA is filed under the name uncultured bacterium. Its description in RNAcentral is "partial 16S ribosomal RNA". It matches the Rfam family "Bacterial small subunit ribosomal RNA", at positions 355 to 774 of the family's 1533-position model. The record is from RNAcentral.